This is a long non-coding RNA of Empidonax traillii (willow flycatcher), 2913 nucleotides long. RefSeq lists it as uncharacterized. The transcript is spliced from 3 exons. The record is from RefSeq and is a predicted model, not a curated record. NCBI's taxonomy places the organism in Eukaryota, Metazoa, Chordata, Aves, Passeriformes, Tyrannidae.
GCAGCAGACCUUGUAGAUAGCAAACUCACCUCAUGCAAACCAUUUACCCAACCAGUUUUCAUCAGCAAACCUUUCCAGAAGUGUCACCACAUAAUUUCUUUUAUCUAUAUGCCACAUGUGCAAAAACAAAGUCAAAAAUUGGUUAUUUAGUAGGCUGAGUCUGCAACCAAACACCACAAAGGCUUUUUUUCUCCAGAGUGUUCUAAGUCUGCUUGCAGUUUAACUCUUCCCGCCACCACCACCAUAUUUGCUUUUAAAGAGUGUUUUCAGGCAGAAUUUUACACUAGAAACAGCAUUUAACCAAUCUGAGGAAAUAAACUUGACCCUCUCUUAUUCAACAAGUAAAGGCAAGUUAACUGACUGUACAAUACAAAUCAAAAUAAUAAUUUUAUUUGCUUUCCCCAUUAAGCAAUUCCCUUCCACGUACAACUUUGUGUCCUGCAGUAAUGCAGCAGAACCCAAACUGCUCACAGGUUUGCAUCUCAAGACUAGCGGGAGGUUCUAGGAUCCCUAAGUUAAUAACUCAUACUUCAGCAUUGCCACAUUUUUCACAUGUCAGAGAAAAAUAUUGAUUUCCAACAUGAAACAAAACAGCAGCAACUGAAAACAAGGAUUUGCUCUGAAUGUGUUUUUAAAUUAAAAAUUAUCCCAAGAAAUAGAAACCAAACUCUGACUGCCCACACAGUCAAUUUUGUGUACUAAAUUAACCUUAGGAGUGGUGCACCAACACAUGGAGUUGACUAAAUAUUUAGAGGUUAUUGACAAAGUUCUUUCAGAAAAUAAAUAGAAACUUCCUCUAGGAAAACAGAUUUCCCGGGGUUUGUAAAUAUUUCACAGCCCAAGAUAAACAACCUCAUGUUAAAAACACAAAACAUGAGAAAGUAACUACAAAUCAUAUAUAAAUCUCUUUGCUGGAAAGUGUAACACCAUUUUCUGUGCAAAGCCGACUUACCUUUGUCCAAGUCCAGCUUUGAAGCAAUUCAUGGAUGGGAAGGAGUUGGCAGAACAUGCACUAAUAAUUGCCCACGUGAAAAAGGGAAGUUUUACCCUCACUCCUUCUUUGUUGAGAGAACAAAGCCCUGAAGGAUUUUUUAAAUCUCCCCCCAAUCUCCCCCUGUACCCUUGCGAAAAGUGAUAGUUGGAAGCAACUGAAGUUUGUAUUUUUUUUUCAGGCAUCAUUUCCUCAGAGAAACAGCGUUUAAGCAGCCUUAGAAGAUAAACUCAACCUUCUCUUACUCAGCAGAGCCUGUCAAGCCUCCUGCUAACGCCAUUCCAGAAAUGCUGAUGACUCCAUCUUUCCCGGGCGAAGGGGGCUGGAAUCUCCAAGGACAACCAUUUCCCCAGCUACGUCUUUGGACAUUGCCAAUGGCUCCUCUUGAUGAUGAAUAGGACUGUGAACUGCAGAUGAAUCUGCAACAGACACGCUGGCCACUGAAAAACCAAUAAAUACGACCAGCUACCCAAGCACUUGGGUUAAGUGUGCCCCAGUCCUGCCCUGGCAAACACAGGCAGCUGUUUGGAACACCCCAGUCCAGAACGAGCAGAUUCUGUGGGAGUGACUGCAGGCUCCAAGGGACUGUGUUUCCUUCAGUCCCUGGAACAGCAGAAUCCCUAGGACUGACCUUUGGGAGUUCACUGUCGUCACAUGCUCCUCUGCAGCUGGGUUCUGUUUGGCAAGACGCUGAGACACUAAAAUCCAUCUCAGUGGUUCAAAAUGAAAAAGGGAAAUUAAAAAAAAAAAAAAAGUAAUGUCUCUUUCCCCGAAGUUGGCUGUAUUUCUGUCAUGUCCAGGGAAUUAUUAUGUAUUUCAAAUGGCUGUGAGUAAUUUGGAAGGAGCCUCUUACAGUGAGGCUCAAGUCUGUUGCUUUUUUCCCCUGCAGGCACAAAAGUUUCCAGGGAUAUCUUUGGGAGUUUGAGACAUGUGGAGGAAACAGACUGCCAAAGGCAGAUUCUCUUGUAUGUGGAUUUGAGGCAAUUUUGCUUUCCAAAUCUCAGGCAAUAAGGCACAUAAAGAGAACAAAUCCAGGAAGUGGAGAGGGAGAGCAAGCUUUGCUGUAAAUUAAUUUAUUUCACCAAGGAGGAUUUAGGUCCUGUUUUUGUACAAGCAGUGACUGUCCACUGUAAGAACAGUAACCCACUAACUUCAGCUGGGAAAGAGUGGAGGCCAAACUGUUUUUGUGAAUGGCUGUAACUGAGGAUGGGUUUGAACCUCAUGAACCACUGAGAAUGUAAAGUGGAGGAUAACAAUGUUGCACAUAUCUGGUCAGCCUUGCCUAGGCAGUAAAGCUUUACAAUUACACAGGUGCCCAUAACAACACUUUAGCCCCUUCCCAAGUGCCUCUUGUUUCUGCUCAGCAGAGGCUGAACUGAAAAAUGUUCCACUUCUAUUAGAACACAGAGAUUUAACCAGGCAUUACAGAAACAGCACAGAGAGUUCAGCCUGUGCAUCGUAGGUGACACUGAACCCACCUCCCCAUCCAGCUUGAAACAUGUCACAGAGUAUUUAGGCAGCCUUAUUUUAGGGACCUAAAAUUAGUUCCUCUGAAUCACGCUUUAGGAGAGCCUAUUUCUGUCCCAUACUACACAGGAAGCCCAAGUUCCUUGGCACCUCAUUCAGAUGCUGAAAUCCUUCCUGUCCUCAUCCCCCAAACAGUCUCUGUAAAAGAGAACUUUAUGCAAUAGGCACGUUUCUAAGUUGUCCCUUUGGCACCUUUCAGUGCCAGCUUUGGAUGACUGACCAAUUUAGAAACACUGGGAUGAGGGAAAGUCUGAGGAGCCUCAUCAAAAAGCAAGUUAUUCCUCUUUAUUUCUGUGAUGGGGCUUUGUGAGAUAUGGGAGGUCACAGACCAGGGCAGGGAGGAUACAGGUAACACGAAGCUCCUGUUGGAUUGGCUAUUCUUUUCCAAACUGUAA